UGGGGAAUAUUGCACAAUGGGCGCAAGCCUGAUGCAGCCAUGCCGCGUGUAUGAAGAAGGCCUUCGGGUUGUAAAGUACUUUCAGUCGGGAGGAAGGUGGUAAGGUUAAUAACCUUGGCAAUUGACGUUACCGACAGAAGAAGCACCGGCUAACUCCGUGCCAGCAGCCGCGGUAAUACGGAGGGUGCAAGCGUUAAUCGGAAUUACUGGGCGUAAAGCGCACGCAGGCGGUUGAUUGAGUCAGAUGUGAAAUCCUCGGGCUUAACCCGGGAAUUGCAUCUGAUACUGGUCAGCUAGAGUCUUGUAGAGGGGGGUAGAAUUCCAUGUGUAGCGGUGAAAUGCGUAGAGAUGUGGAGGAAUACCGGUGGCGAAGGCGGCCCCCUGGACAAAGACUGACGCUCAGGUGCGAAAGCGUGGGGAGCAAACAGG
Molecule: ribosomal RNA, 429 nt
Filed under: Chloroflexota bacterium
Lineage: Bacteria; Bacillati; Chloroflexota
Description: Chloroflexi bacterium partial 16S ribosomal RNA
Rfam family: Bacterial small subunit ribosomal RNA
Source: RNAcentral